RNAcentral lists this long non-coding RNA (793 nucleotides) under Homo sapiens (human). RNAcentral describes it as "HSALNT0298263". Lineage: Eukaryota; Metazoa; Chordata; Mammalia; Primates; Hominidae. The record is from RNAcentral.
GUCGCGGCCUCUCCGCACCCCACGUCCCGGGAGCCGACCGGGAGACUCUCACGGCGGAGUUCCACAGACCUCGUUAGGUUAAAGGAACCUCGCCUUGCCCCCCACUAAUCGGCUAGAGAGGGAGGCCGGCGAAACAAAAGCCGUAGAGGAAAAUUAAGCGACUUCCCCCUCGGCGGGGAACUUGGAGGUCGGGGAAGGUGUGAUUAUGAAAAUAAACAAGGGAAGUGAGGGAAAUAUAACCAAGUGGAAAAAGGAAAUGGAGUGCAAAUUGAGAACAUAAUCCAGAAUUCGUAAAAGUGGUAUGGAUAAAGAAGGUCAAAAUGGUCUCUGAUGAAAAGAAACUUUUAAAAUGCUUGGAAAAGUUAAUGAAUUAGAUUUCCCUGCACUUGAAGAUAUUAGGAUUGGGAGAUCAAGACUCCCAUCAGCCAAAUCAAGAAUAUUCACAAUUGACAGGAAAACUCAAAGUUUCUUUUUCCCCACCAGAGAAAUGUCUCCCACCCCCAUAGCUAAACAGUGCAGAUUUUGAAGAAGAAAACUCUAGAGCAGAAAAGAAGAGGGAGCCUGCAGCAGAGACGGGGGUCAUGUGUGGGGAAUGAUCACUUCAGCCACUGUGAAGUCAGGUAGGCUGAGCGAUGUGCAGCCAGGCACAGGAUGUACGCAUGAGAAACAUCUUCCCUAAGUUCACUUGUCCUCUUGGGCCAAGGAUGCUGAUGUUCCACAUGUCUAUGGAGCUUGCCUUUUACCCUCAGAGCCAGAGACCAUUUUUAAGGAUGACGCAUAUUUGGCUAUAUAG